UUUCUGAAGAAUGAUGAAAUGUUUGAUCUGACCACAAUGUGAUGUGUUCAGUCCAACCCUGAGCUUCAGAUC
Molecule: small nucleolar RNA, 72 nt
Organism: Triplophysa dalaica
Lineage: Eukaryota; Metazoa; Chordata; Actinopteri; Cypriniformes; Nemacheilidae
Product: small nucleolar RNA SNORD69
Exons: 1
Source: RefSeq, a predicted model, not a curated record